RNAcentral lists this ribosomal RNA (492 nucleotides) under uncultured bacterium. Its description in RNAcentral is "partial 16S ribosomal RNA". It matches the Rfam family "Bacterial small subunit ribosomal RNA", at positions 29 to 507 of the family's 1533-position model. The record is from RNAcentral.
AGUGAACGCUGGCGGUAGGCCUAACACAUGCCAGUCGAACGGCAGCACAGUAAGAGCUUGCUCUUACGGGUGGCGAGUGGCGGACGGGUGAGGAAUACAUCGGAAUCUACUUUUUCGUGGGGGAUAACGUAGGGAAACUUACGCUAAUACCGCAUACGACCUACGGGUGAAAGCAGGGGAUCUUCGGACCUUGCGCGAUUGAAUGAGCCGAUGUCGGAUUAGCUAGUUGGCGGGGUAAAGGCCCACCCAGGCGACGAUCCGUAGCUGGUCUGAGAGGAUGAUCAGCCACACUGGAACUGAGACACGGUCCAGACUCCUACGGGAGGCAGCAGUGGGGAAUAUUGGACAAUGGGCGCAAGCCUGAUCCAGCCAUACCGCGUGGGUGAAGAAGGCCUUCGGGUUGUAAAGCCCUUUUGUUGGGAAAGAAAAGCAGCAGGUUAAUACCCCGCUGUUCUGACGGUACCCAAAGAAUAAGCACCGGCUAACUUCGUG